CUCUCUUAAUCGUCUUCUGCUCUCCCCUCAAGUCCUCAACUUCAACCUCAACCUCAACCUCAACCCAUGCCUCUUCUACUCUCUCACUUCUCAUCCUCGAAAUUUCUAGAUCCACUCCAGGCUUGAAGAUUCUGCCCCAAUUUCAAGAAAUAUGACAAAAUGUGAAAGAAAUUUAAAGAAUUUGAGUAUGCCUACCUAUAACCAUGAAAAAGGAAGAGUCGAUCUGGAAUUUCAACAGAAAGAGGAAGAGGAAGGACCACGAACAUUUGUUAGCGCUGGAAGUCUGCCAUUACAUCCGGGAGCAGCACCUCCUGCUGAAGUUCAGAAACCUACAAUCAGGUGCUUGAGGGUGUGUGUGUGAGAGGUGUCAGGCUGUGUGGGCAUGGGUUCAAUGACUCGCAUAUCAUUGCAGGUGUACAAUGGGCUUUCUUUAAGUGAAUGCAGGACCAAGUUCUUACAUAUUCUACUUUAGUUUCAGAAAUUUAGACUAUAAAUUUCUUGUCUAUUUGGUGUUCUUAUUAGAACAAUAGCUCCUUGUUCUAGAUUUCGUGUUGCCCGAAUUGUAUGAUAUCUAUUAGUUAAUAUGGGAUGGAUCAUUUGUU
Long non-coding RNA from Spinacia oleracea (spinach), 602 nucleotides. RefSeq lists it as uncharacterized. NCBI's taxonomy places the organism in Eukaryota, Viridiplantae, Streptophyta, Magnoliopsida, Caryophyllales, Amaranthaceae. The transcript has 4 exons. The record is from RefSeq and is a predicted model, not a curated record.